Molecule: ribosomal RNA, 590 nt
Filed under: Serratia marcescens
Lineage: Bacteria; Pseudomonadati; Pseudomonadota; Gammaproteobacteria; Enterobacterales; Yersiniaceae
Description: bacterial SSU rRNA
Rfam family: Bacterial small subunit ribosomal RNA
Source: RNAcentral
GCCGCAAGGUUAAAACUCAAAUGAAUUGACGGGGGCCCGCACAAGCGGUGGAGCAUGUGGUUUAAUUCGAUGCAACGCGAAGAACCUUACCUACUCUUGACAUCCAGAGAACUUUCCAGAGAUGGAUUGGUGCCUUCGGGAACUCUGAGACAGGUGCUGCAUGGCUGUCGUCAGCUCGUGUUGUGAAAUGUUGGGUUAAGUCCCGCAACGAGCGCAACCCUUAUCCUUUGUUGCCAGCGGUUCGGCCGGGAACUCAAAGGAGACUGCCAGUGAUAAACUGGAGGAAGGUGGGGAUGACGUCAAGUCAUCAUGGCCCUUACGAGUAGGGCUACACACGUGCUACAAUGGCGUAUACAAAGAGAAGCGACCUCGCGAGAGCAAGCGGACCUCAUAAAGUACGUCGUAGUCCGGAUUGGAGUCUGCAACUCGACUCCAUGAAGUCGGAAUCGCUAGUAAUCGUAGAUCAGAAUGCUACGGUGAAUACGUUCCCGGGCCUUGUACACACCGCCCGUCACACCAUGGGAGUGGGUUGCAAAAGAAGUAGGUAGCUUAACCUUCGGGAGGGCGCUUACCACUUUGUGAUUCAUGAC